UCUUGCUGUUUGAAAUAUGUAAUCCCUUGUAAUCCUAAGUAAUCUCCUUCCUACAGCGAGAUUCAAACCACACCAGCACCAAGGUAAUGGUACUAGGGACGACCACCACCACCACCACCACCACCACCACCACCACCAGUACGGACUCUCAGCUGCAGGCCCGCCACACAGGUGAUCGCAGACGUGACCCGCCACGCCCCUCGCCUUUGCCUUCGCCGCCUUCCCGCAAGCCAGGAAGGUGAUAUUCCUCGAGGAUGAUGUGCUGCCCAGCCCUGACUUCCUGUGGUUCUUCCAGCAGACGGCGGCACUGCUGGACGAGGAUCCCACUCUGCUUGCCGUCACCGCUCAUAACACUUACUCCGUGGCAGGGCGCGGCUUGGACCCCACUCGCCUUCUGAGGGGUGCCAUGCCACCUUCAGUGGGGCUGGAUGGCCGACAGGAGGCUGCUGGAGGCAUGGGUGCCGGAGAACUGGGGUGACUGGGACUACUGGGUGCUGGCGUGGGUCUCGCGCUAAGGGGCUGGACUUGGUGUUCCCUGAGCUGUCUCGUUCUCUCCCAUGCGGGCAGCGGCGGCACUCACAUAGACGGCUUUCCACCAGGGCAUCGCUUUCGAUCACCAGGCUGCCUUCCUCCCCGCCCCCAUCCCGCCCGCCACGCCCAUGCCCAGUUCAGUCCGCGUAAAGGGUUCUUACACGCCCGCACGAGCACCCUUUUUGACUACUACAAGAUCUCUGUCUGCCGCGCCCACCACCUCCCCGCCUCUUCUUAUCAACCUCACUGAUGUUAGCGGCGUGGUGAGGCACAGGUAUUCGGCGCGGCUUCGGAAUGAUCUGGCGCAGGCUACUCCGAUCACCAUGCAAACGAUUGACC
Scylla paramamosain (green mud crab) is the source of this 870-nucleotide long non-coding RNA. RefSeq lists it as uncharacterized. The transcript has 4 exons. The record is from RefSeq and is a predicted model, not a curated record. NCBI's taxonomy places the organism in Eukaryota, Metazoa, Arthropoda, Malacostraca, Decapoda, Portunidae.